UACGCAGGGGGCUAGCGUUGUUCGGAAUCACUGGGCGUAAAGGGCGCGUAGGCUGCUUGAUAAGUCGGGGGUGAAAGCCUGUGGCUCAACCACAGAAUUGCCUUCGAUACUGUCGAGCUUGAGACCGGAAGAGGUAAGUGGAACUGCGAGUGUAGAGGUGAAAUUCGUAGAUAUUCGCAAGAACACCAGUGGCGAAGGCGGCUUACUGGUCCGGUUCUGACGCUGAGGCGCGAAAGCGUGGGGAGCAAACAGG
RNAcentral lists this ribosomal RNA (253 nucleotides) under uncultured bacterium. Its description in RNAcentral is "partial 16S ribosomal RNA". It matches the Rfam family "Bacterial small subunit ribosomal RNA", at positions 524 to 776 of the family's 1533-position model. The record is from RNAcentral.